UACGUAGGGUGCAAGCGUUGUCCGGAAUUAUUGGGCGUAAAGGGCUCGUAGGCGGUUUGUCGCGUCGGGAGUGAAAACCCAGGGCUUAACUCUGGGCUUGCUUUCGAUACGGGCAGACUGGAGGUAUGCAGGGGAGAACGGAAUUCCUGGUGUAGCGGUGAAAUGCGCAGAUAUCAGGAGGAACACCGGUGGCGAAGGCGGUUCUCUGGGCAUGUCCUGACGCUGAGGAGCGAAAGUGUGGGGAGCGAACAGG
This 253-nucleotide ribosomal RNA is filed under the name uncultured bacterium. RNAcentral's name for it is "partial 16S ribosomal RNA". It matches the Rfam family "Bacterial small subunit ribosomal RNA", at positions 524 to 776 of the family's 1533-position model. The record is from RNAcentral.